This 332-nucleotide ribosomal RNA is filed under the name uncultured Acidobacteriota bacterium. RNAcentral's name for it is "bacterial SSU rRNA". It matches the Rfam family "Bacterial small subunit ribosomal RNA", at positions 568 to 898 of the family's 1533-position model. Lineage: Bacteria; Pseudomonadati; Acidobacteriota. The record is from RNAcentral.
CUCGUAGGCGGCCAACUAAGUCGGACGUGAAAUCCCUCGGCUCAACCGGGGAACUGCGUCCGAUACUGGAUGGCUUGAAUUCGGGAGAGGGAUGCGGAAUUCCAGGUGUAGCGGUGAAAUGCGUAGAUAUCUGGAGGAACACCGGUGGCGAAGGCGGCAUCCUGGACCGAUAUUGACGCUGAGGAGCGAAAGCCAGGGGAGCAAACGGGAUUAGAUACCCCGGUAGUCCUGGCCCUAAACGAUGAAUGCUUGGUGUGGCGGGUAUCGAUCCCUGCCGUGCCGGAGCUAACGCGUUAAGCAUUCCGCCUGGGGAGUACGGUCGCAAGGCUGAA